Molecule: ribosomal RNA, 2778 nt
Filed under: Triticum aestivum (bread wheat)
Lineage: Eukaryota; Viridiplantae; Streptophyta; Magnoliopsida; Poales; Poaceae
Description: partial small subunit ribosomal RNA
Source: RNAcentral
AUGAUCAGUCCGCAGCAUCCUAAAUGUGCAGGAGGCGGCGGCGGCCAUGAUGAGGAGCCUCCUCAGCGGCCGAAGCAGCAGCUGCCGCGCGACUCCCGCGGCUCGCUCGAGGUCUUCAACCCCUCCUCUGCGGCCGAGCCCCCCGCCGCGUUCCGCCCCGCCGCCUCGCCGUUCCGCCAGGACGACGACGACAACAUCGAGGAUGUCGACAGGGCGACGCAGCGGGCGGCGGAGUGGGGCCUCGUGCUCCAGACCAACGAGCACACGGGCCGGCCGCAGGGCGUCUCCGCCCGCAGCUCCGGGGGCGGCUCCGCCCGCAGCAGCUCCGACGACAAGGCCGUCGCCGGCGCCGGCAUCCCCCGGGUGUCGGAGGAGCUCCGGGCGGCGCUCUCGGCGUUCCAGCAGACGUUCGUCGUGUCGGACGCCAGCCGCCCCGGCCACCCCAUCAUGUACGCCAGCGCCGGCUUCUUCAACAUGACCGGCUACACCUCCAAGGAGGUCGUCGGAAGGAACUGCCGCUUCCUCCAAGGCUCCGGCACCGACCCGGCGGAGAUCGCAAAGAUCAGGCAGGCUCUAGCCGACGGAUCAAACUACUGCGGCCGUGUCCUCAACUACAAGAAGGAUGGCACGGCAUUCUGGAACCUCCUGACCAUUGCCCCCAUCAAGGAUGAGGAUGGCAGGGUCCUCAAGUUCAUAGGGAUGCAAGUGGAAGUGAGUAAAUACACUGAAGGGAACAAGGACACUGUUGUUCGUCCAAAUGGACUGCCAGAGUCACUCAUCAAAUAUGAUGCCAGGCAGAAGGACCAGGCCCGUAGCUCAGUGUCUGAGCUUCUGUUGGCUCUCAAGAACCCACGGUCAUUGUCAGAAUCAAGUAAUAGCACCUUCAAAAGAAAGUCACAGGAAUCAGUAGGCGUGUUAACGGGUGAUGGUACUGGCAAGAGGAGCUCAGAGAGUGGAUCUCGACGUACCUCACGCACUGGAGCAAGAAGCUCACUGCAGAAGAUCAGCGAAGUACCUGAAGGAGGCAAUAAAACUAGAAAAUCGGGUCUGUUUUCACUUAUGGGUUUACUUGGUAUGGGCCAUGGAAAUGUGGAAAAGAACAUGCUGAAACCAAGAGAUGAAGAUCCGCUACUUGACAGUGAUGAUGAAAGACCUGAGAGCUUUGAUGAUGAGCUAAGGAGGAAAGAAAUGAGAAGGGGUAUAGACUUGGCUACUACACUUGAACGUAUCGAGAAGAACUUUGUCAUUACUGACCCAAGGUUGCCAGAUAAUCCUAUUAUAUUUGCAUCCGAUAGUUUCUUGCAAUUGACUGAAUAUAGCCGUGAAGAAAUAUUGGGAAGAAACUGCAGGUUUCUCCAAGGUCCUGAAACUGAUCGUGAUACAGUGAGGAAAAUUAGAGAUGCCAUAGAUAACCAAACAGAGGUCACUGUUCAGUUGAUUAAUUAUACAAAGAGUGGUAAAAAGUUCUGGAACCUCUUUCACUUGCAGCCUAUGCGUGAUCAGAAGGGAGAUGUCCAGUAUUUUAUUGGGGUUCAGUUGGAUGGAACUGAGCAUGUCCGAGAUGCUGCCGAGAAAGAGGGUGUCAUGCUGAUUAAGAAAACUGCAGAAAAUAUUGACGAGGCUGCAAAGGAACUUCCAGAUGCUAAUUUGAGGCCGGAGGACUUAUGGGCCAACCAUUCAAAAGUAGUUUUGCCAAAGCCACAUAUGAAGGAUUCUGCGUCAUGGAGAGCCAUCCAAAAAGUUUGUGAGGGUGGAGAAAACAUUGAUCUGAAACAUUUCAGGCCUGUAAAACCUUUGGGGUCUGGUGACACUGGAAGUGUGCACUUGGUGGAGUUGCUAAACACAGGUGAAUACUUUGCCAUGAAAGCGAUGGAUAAAAGUGUCAUGCUUAAUCGCAAUAAGGUCCAUAGAGCUACUGCUGAACGACAAAUCCUUGAUAUGUUGGACCACCCAUUCCUUCCAACAUUGUAUGCAUCAUUUCAGACAAAGACACAUAUAUGUCUCAUUACAGAUUACUACCCUGGCGGGGAGCUCUUUCUGCUCCUAGAUAGGCAACCUCUGAAGGUUUUGCGGGAAGAUGCAGUCAGGUUCUAUGCAGCUGAAGUUGUCAUUGCACUUGAAUACUUGCAUUGUCAAGGUAUAAUCUACCGAGACUUGAAGCCAGAGAAUAUCUUACUUCAUAGAGACGGGCACAUAUCCCUGACAGACUUUGAUUUAUCUUGCCUGACAUCUUGCAGACCGCAGGUCUUUCUUCCAGAAGAAGGUAAUAAGAAAAGUAGGAGGAAAAGCAGGAGUUCACCCAUAUUUUUUGCGGAACCUAUGCGAGCAUCCAAUUCAUUUGUUGGUACAGAGGAGUACAUCGCACCUGAAAUUAUUACCGGAGCUGGCCAUACAAGUGCUGUUGAUUGGUGGGCGCUAGGGAUUCUUCUGUAUGAAAUGCUGUAUGGUUACACACCCUUCAGAGGUAAAACCAGGCAAAGAACCUUUGCCAACAUCCUACACAAGGACAUCAGAUUUCCCGCGAGCGUAUCGGUGAGCCUCCCAGCGAGGCAGCUGAUCUACAGGUUGCUGCACCGGGAUCCUGCGAAUAGAAUGGGAUCGUAUGAGGGAUCGAACGAGAUAAAACAACACCCGUUCUUCCGCGGCAUCAACUGGGCUCUUGUGCGCGGCACGGCUCCUCCAAAGAUGGACGCUCCACUGUUUUCGGACGACGUGGGCAAGGGAAUGGGCGAUGCUGCUGCUACCGCUGCUGCUGAUAAUCACACCGACAUGUUCUGA